AGGCUGCAACUCGCCUGCAUGAAGUCGGAAUUGCUAGUAAUCGCAGAUCAGCAUGCUGCGGUGAAUACGUUCCCGGGCCUUGUACACACCGCCCGUCACACCAUGGGAGUCGGUAACACCCGAAGUCGGUAGUCUAACCGAAAGGAGGACGCCGCCGAAGGUGGGAUUGAUGACUGGGGUGAAGUCGUAACAAGGUAGC
RNAcentral lists this ribosomal RNA (199 nucleotides) under uncultured bacterium. RNAcentral's name for it is "partial 16S ribosomal RNA". It matches the Rfam family "Bacterial small subunit ribosomal RNA", at positions 1302 to 1500 of the family's 1533-position model. The record is from RNAcentral.